This 468-nucleotide ribosomal RNA is filed under the name uncultured bacterium. Its description in RNAcentral is "partial 16S ribosomal RNA". It matches the Rfam family "Bacterial small subunit ribosomal RNA", at positions 28 to 507 of the family's 1533-position model. The record is from RNAcentral.
GACGAACGCUGGCGGCGUGCUUAACACAUGCAAGUCGAACGGAAAGGCCCUGCUUUUGUGGGGUGCUCGAGUGGCGAACGGGUGAGUAACACGUGAGUAACCUGCCCUUGACUUUGGUAUAACUUCAGGAAACUGGGGCUAAUACCGGAUAGGAUCUCCUGCUGCAUGGUGGGGGUUGGAAAGUUUCGGCUGUUGGGGAUGGACUCGCGGCUUAUCAGCUUGUUGGUGGGGUAGUGGCUUACCAAGGCUUUGACGGGUAGCCGGCCUGAGAGGGUGACCGGCCACAAGGGGACUGAGAGACGGACCAGACGCCUACGGGAGGCAGCAGUGGGGAAUAUGGCACAAUGGGCGGAAGCCUGAUGCAGAAACGCCGCGUGCGGGAUGACGGCCUUCGGGUUAUAAACAGCUGUCGCCUGUGACGAAGCGUGAGUGACGGUAAUGGGUAAAGAAGCACCGGCUAACUACGUG